UGGGGAAUUUUGCACAAUGGGGGAAACCCUGAUGCAGCGACGCCGCGUGAUUUAGAAGGCCUUCGGGUUGUAAAAAUCUUUUCUAUGGGAAGAAAAUGACAGUACCAUAGGAAUAAGGACCGGCUGAUUACGUGCCAGCAGCCGCGGUAAUACGUAAGGUCCGAGCGGUGUCCGGAAUCAUUGGGCGUAAAGGGUACGUAGGCGGGUAAGCAAGUUAGAAGUGAAAUCCUAUAGCUCAACUAUAGUAAGCUUUUAAAACUGCUCAUCUUGAGGUAUGGAAGGGAAAGUGGAAUUCCUAGUGUAGCGGUGAAAUGCGCAGAUAUUAGGAGGGAUACCGGUGGCGAAGGCGACUUUCUGGCCAUAACCUGACGCUGAGGUACGAAAGCGUGGGUAGCAAACAGG
This 402-nucleotide ribosomal RNA is filed under the name bacterium. RNAcentral's name for it is "partial 16S ribosomal RNA". It matches the Rfam family "Bacterial small subunit ribosomal RNA", at positions 355 to 776 of the family's 1533-position model. The record is from RNAcentral.